RNAcentral lists this long non-coding RNA (729 nucleotides) under Homo sapiens (human). Its description in RNAcentral is "novel transcript". Lineage: Eukaryota; Metazoa; Chordata; Mammalia; Primates; Hominidae. The record is from RNAcentral.
CCUUUGCUACUCUGCUAGAUAUCCUUACAAUUUGGUUUAGAAUUUUAGUACCACUAACAUUUUUUGGUGCAUAUUUUGGAAAUAAAGAAAAGAUUAGUUGUCCAGUUCAGACAAACCAGAUCCCCUGUCAGAUUCCUCCAUAGAACUUCUUUACAAAACCACUUCUUGGCAUCAUAAUUGGUGGCAUUUUCCCCUUCGGCUGUAUUUUUAUUCAACUCUUUUUCAUUCUGAACAGUAUUUGGUCUCAUUAGCUGUACUACAUGUUUGGCUUCCUUUUCUUAGUCUUUAUAAUUCUUGUGAUUACUUGCUCAGAAGUUACAGUUUUGCUGUAUUAUUUUCAUUUAUGUGCUGAGGAUUAUCAUUGGUGGUGGCGAUUUUUAACCAGAAGCUUUAUAGCUGUUUAUCUUUUUACGUAUGCAGUUCAUUACUUCUCUGCCAAACUUCAAAUCACAGAAAUUGCGAGCUCUAUUUUGUACUUUGGGUACAUGAUGAUCAUUGUGUUGAUUUUCUUCCUUUUCAUAGAGACAGUUGGAUUUUUUUCCUGUUUCUGGUUAAUUGCUAAAAUCUACAGUGUGCUGAAGGUGGAGUAAAGUAUUUCCCCAAAGGAUUCCAAGCACAUCUCCCUUGCCCUUGAAUAUCUGUAUAUCUAUAUGAACAUCAAUUGAGAUAUAUAUGUGUGUGCCCCUAAUUACAUAAUUUUAAGCAUAUAUAUAAAAAUGUAAAAUCUCA